AGGAUGCAGAGAAAGUUAUGAAGAGAGAGCAACAACUAACAUAUGCUGGAUACAUAUCCUGGGCCAGGAUGAUGCCAGGUAUUUUACAGUCGGUCACUCCUCACAACAACCCUAUGAGCAGCAGUCUCUUCCUUAAGAUUUUGAGCGGGCCCAGUAAUCACUACCCCUCUUCAUCCCCUUAAUUCUCAAAAAAUUAAGAUAUAAGACAAAGGAGUAACAGAUGAAGAUGUUAUAAUAUCACCUCUAUUACUGAUAAAGUCUCCCUUACAGUGCUAGUGGGAGCAUAAAUCGAUAUAGCCAUUUUGGAAAACUAAACCUGAAUAUAUGCAUUCUCUAUGCCCCAGCAAUUCCACUCACAGAAAUAUACCCAGUAAAGUGUGUACGUAUGCUCACCAAACGACAUGUACUAGAAUGCUCAUAGUAGCACUAUUUGUAAAACUGGAAAAUACCCAUUUGCCUGGCAACAGUAGAAGGGAUCAAUAAAUCUUGGUAUACUCACACAAUAGAUUAUUAUAUAGCAAUAAGAAUGAUCAAACCGUAAUUACAGGCAACAAUAUAGAUGAAUAUUGCAAAUGUAACAUACUGGCAAAAAAAACAGAUGCAGAAGAGCAUGAACUGUAUGAUUUCAUUUAUGCAAAGUACAAAAGUGGGAAAAUGAAUUGGGUUUUAGAAGUCAGUUCAAGAUAGUUGUUGCCCUUGGGUGGGGACAGUGAUUGAGAGGGAGGAGGCAGGAGACUUCUUGGGGACUAGCACUAUUAUUUUUCUUGAAAUGAGUACUAGUUACUUGGGUGUGUUUGGUUGUGAAAAUUAUAGAGCGAUACACAAGCAGUAAGCAUCUUUACCAUAUAUAUAGUUCUUCAAUUAAAAAAAUUUUUAAAUCCUCUCUUGAUCCCGUCUUCCCAUCCAACUACCACUAUCUCUCCUCUUCCCUGUAAAGCAAAUGUUUUUGAAUGGAGUGUCUUUGCUCGCUGUGUCCAAUGUCUGCAUUCUCUCUUGAACCCAGUCCAGCAAACCUUUUGCCCUAGAUUCUAAAAAGCUGCUCUUAUAAAGAUCAAUGAUGACUUGCAUAUGGCUAAACCCAAUGCUCAGCUUGCCUCAUUGUACUUACCAGCAGCAUUCCAUACAGAAUAUCACUCUCUGCAUAUUCUUUUGGUUUCUGUACACAGUAUCCAUCACUAGGUGAACUCAUGGAGCCUCAUGGCUUUAAAUGCCCUGUCUGUACUGAUGACUGUCUCAUUUAUAUUUUCAGCCCAAAUCUCUCCUUGGCACAUCAGACUUGUGCAUUCAAUUGCCCACUCAACAUCUCAAACAUAAUAUAUUCCAAACAGAUGUCCUGAUAUCCUCCAAACCUGCCCUUCCCACAUUCUCCUCCUUCUUAUUAAGCUUCUCAGAUCUACUCCAUCCUUCCAGUUGUGUAGCCCCCAAACUUUGGAAUAACCCUAAACUUCUCUUUUUUUUUCUCAUACAAUGCAUCUAAUCCAUUAACCAGACCUGUUGAUUCUACCUUCAAAAUAUAUCCAGAAUUUACCCACUUCUUGCUGCUUAGACUGCCACCAUCCUGGUCCAAUCCACCUUCCUCUCUUGCCUGAAUUAUCUCAAUAGCCUUCUAGAUGCUUCUUCCCUGCCCCUCACUGCCCUGCCCCUUGCCUCUGCCCUUGCUGCCCCACAACCUAUUUCCUACAAAGAGCGAUCCCAGUAAACAAUAAUCCAAAUUAUGUCAUUUGUCUGCUCCAGACCCUCCUGUUUUCCAUCUCACUUAGAUGAAAAGGCAAUUCCAGGCUGUGAACUUCAAGACUCUGUAUGAUCUGACCUCACACUGGCUUUCAAACCUCAUCUUGCACACUGCUUCCCCAGUGUGCUCUGCGUUA
RNAcentral lists this long non-coding RNA (1868 nucleotides) under Homo sapiens (human). Its description in RNAcentral is "non-protein coding lnc-PRKCH-3:6". Lineage: Eukaryota; Metazoa; Chordata; Mammalia; Primates; Hominidae. The record is from RNAcentral.